UAUUUUUUCCUAGUAAGGAAGCAUUUAACUUUCAGUGGAGCAACUGUCCAUAAGAAAUAAAUGUUUUGAUCAUUGGAAGGAGUUCCUUUGCUGUAUUAACUGCUCAUGAUUUGUGUUAGGCAAAGCCAAUUUUCUCAGUAUGAUUUUGACAUACCUCCUCUUUUGUGUGGUGUGAGUUUAAUGCUUUAGUAUUAACCGCUGUGAGUAUCAAAUUAAGAUAUUCUUAACCAAACAAUUUUUUAUUCACAUCUCUAUUUUUGUAUAUUACCUUAUUUAGCCCCUUCUCCCUUUAGCCUCACCAUGGUGAUUUUGAAAGGGAUAGUAUAUAAUCAAGUGAAAGCAUUAUUUGUGUAGGUUGAGGGACAACCUAGGAUAUUAUGAUUUCCUCUCUUACUCCAGUGCAGUGUUCUGAAUUUGCUUUGACUGUAGCGGAGCUCACAGUAUAUCUGAUUCUAGACGGCAUUAUGCAUUUGUACCUUCUGUUGAUGUUAAAUCCGUGUUGAAGGUGCUGAUGCCUUCAAAAGUUGGACCUCUGAUUCUUUUCUCUCAAAACAAAGCUUUCUGCCUUGUGAGCCUUUUGGGCUUAGUAUGGAUGGAAUGACCAUUCAGAGGUCCUAUUUGGCUUGUAUUGUUCUCUGCUGUUUGUUUCCCAUCCAGUUUCAACUUAGCAAAAUAAUCUAAAAAUGUGGCAUAGGCUUUGAUUUAUACUGUUGACACAAUUAGUGACAAAUAAUUCUGCCACUCAUCUUGGGUACCGGAGCUUUGUUUCGUUUCAGCUCCAAGAAAAACCAUGCCAUUGGGAAUCCCAGCUGUAACAAAGAAUCUUUCUCACAGUAAAAGAUACCUGAGAAAACAUUGAAAAAGCUGAAUGGACUCCAGGCUACUACAAUUGAUCUCUGGAUCUGGUGCGCUGAGAGUUUGCUCAGCUUCAUUCUAGGUAUCUGGAAAUGGUGGUAGCUGUUCUUCAGGCUCUUCCUUGUUGUUGAAGAAGCUUGUUUGUGUUCUCCAGCAGGACUGAUAUGGAAGCUUUAAUCGCUGUUUGUCAUUGUCUUAAAGCCAGCUGGUGUCUCUUGUUCAUCAACUUUGGUAAGAUGGUGCUUUGCAAGGAUGUAUUUAUAUUAUAAUGACCAACAUUUGGUCAACCCUAUUCACUCAUUCACUAACUUUUUUUUUUUUUUUCUUUUUGUAAAAUAAAGUGCUUUACUUAUGAGGUGUAUAUAAACCUUGUACAAAAAUCCUUUCCAAUAAUUACUAUAAACUGAGUUGUAACAAAUGAAAUGUUGAUUUUUAUAAUAAAACUAAGAGUGA
Long non-coding RNA from Gallus gallus (chicken), 1308 nucleotides. The record is from Ensembl. Lineage: Eukaryota; Metazoa; Chordata; Aves; Galliformes; Phasianidae.